This is a long non-coding RNA of Ruditapes philippinarum (Manila clam), 1275 nucleotides long. RefSeq lists it as uncharacterized. NCBI's taxonomy places the organism in Eukaryota, Metazoa, Mollusca, Bivalvia, Venerida, Veneridae. The record is from RefSeq and is a predicted model, not a curated record. The transcript is spliced from 5 exons.
ACUAAAUAAUAGAAAUAUUGCUUUUCAAAAUCAACAAAUUUAAACAGAUUGUUUUUGUUAUGUACACUUACAGUAAUUCAUCCGCAGUAAUAAUGCAAAAAAAAUGUAUUCUGUUUUGUGUCAAUACUACAUUUGAAAAGAGCCGAUCAUCUUUUCAUAAUGGUUUAUUCAAUUUCUACCAAGUUGAUACGAUAUAUUCAUUAAAAUAACUUUUCAAGCUUCGUGUUUAUUUCAUUAUUUACAGUUAGUGUAAGAUGGCAGUUCAAACCAUAUCAAGAUUAAUACAAGAAAGUCAAGAUGCCCUCGAGGUAAAUGACUUUACACGUGCAAAGCAGGUGGCGUUUCAAGCUGUUGCGGAUAUCAACAUCGAGAAAUGUAAGUUUUUAACAGGCGUGCAGACGAAUAUAGACGAGCAACAAUUUGGGGAUUGGUAUGGAGGAUGUUCUUUUGUUAUGCACAAGAUUGGGGAAAACUUCGAGGCAACAAGGUUUUUUUAUACAGUGUGUCCGCAACUGAUGCACAUCCCGACAGUUUUCUGCUAAUAUGAUAGCAGCAGCUGAAGAACGUUUACAAUUAAUUCAUAGAUCAUUUAAUAUCUUAUCGUUGUCCAUGAGCACUUAAAAUAUAGUUGUGUUAUUUGAGACGGGUUAUUUUCAUAUGCUUUUUCAUGUUGUCAUUUUUAACUGAUUAGGUUUUCUUGAAAAUUUAUAUCCCUUAUGUAAAAUAUUUAUAUAAGAAUAAUUUUCAUUAAAAUAAUAUUUGUCUUUAGAAUCUUGCUUUUAUAACAACAAACGAUAGUAUAUCUUUUGUAUUAUUUUUAUUUAUUGUAGCGAUUAUUUUCGACUCGACUUGGAAUAUUCACAACCAUAAAAAAGUAUUUGACGUUCUUUGGAAUUCCUUGGUUUUUUCUAGAAAAAAGUGUGAUCUUUCAAUGCAAUACGAGAAGGAACUGAGAUGGCUUCUUGCAAAGAUAGAUGACCUUGCCAAACUUGCUGAGAGCCGUGGAAAAUGUAAUGUCUGUGUGACUAUAGAUGGUGAUAUCAAUCAAAUAUUCUCCUACCUGAUGAAAUGUGGCAUAGUGGAACAUGAGCUGAUUAAACAACCAGGACGUAGGGCUUCCCUAUGGCGCUCUGCUCGAUGUUUCCUGCGAAUGGGAAUGCAUGAAGAUGCAAGGAAACUUUGCAGUACAAGUAAGUACGUAAGUUCAAUUCUUAGAGCAGUCUAUAUCUAAGUUUAUUGCUUAAAUCUAGUUUUUUCUCUAAAAAGCAGUUUUUA